GACGAACGCUGGCGGCGUGCCUAAUACAUGCAAGUAGAACGCUGAAGGAGGAGCUUGCUUCUCUGGAUGAGUUGCGAACGGGUGAGUAACGCGUAGGUAACCUGCCUGGUAGCGGGGGAUAACUAUUGGAAACGAUAGCUAAUACCGCAUAAGAGUAGAUGUUGCAUGACAUUUGCUUAAAAGGUGCAAAUGCAUCACUACCAGAUGGACCUGCGUUGUAUUAGCUAGUUGGUGGGGUAACGGCUCACCAAGGCGACGAUACAUAGCCGACCUGAGAGGGUGAUCGGCCACACUGGGACUGAGACACGGCCCAGACUCCUACGGGGGGCAGCAGUAGGGAAUCUUCGGCAAUGGACGGAAGUCUGACCGAGCAACGCCGCGUGAGUGAAGAAGGUUUUCGGAUCGUAAAGCUCUGUUGUAAGAGAAGAACGAGUGUGAGAGUGGAAAGUUCACACUGUGACGGUAUCUUACCAGAAAGGGACGGCUAACUACGUGCCAGCAGCCGCGGUAAUACGUAGGUCCCGAGCGUUGUCCGGAUUUAUUGGGCGUAAAGCGAGCGCAGGCGGUUAGAUAAGUCUGAAGUUAAAGGCUGUGGCUUAACCAUAGUAGGCUUUGGAAACUGUUUAACUUGAGUGCAAGAGGGGAGAGUGGAAUUCCAUGUGUAGCGGUGAAAUGCGUAGAUAUAUGGAGGAACACCGGUGGCGAAAGCGGCUCUCUGGCUUGUAACUGACGCUGAGGCUCGAAAGCGUGGGGAGCAAACAGG
Molecule: ribosomal RNA, 763 nt
Filed under: uncultured Streptococcus sp.
Lineage: Bacteria; Bacillati; Bacillota; Bacilli; Lactobacillales; Streptococcaceae
Description: bacterial SSU rRNA
Rfam family: Bacterial small subunit ribosomal RNA
Source: RNAcentral